Callorhinchus milii (elephant shark) is the source of this 536-nucleotide long non-coding RNA. RefSeq lists it as uncharacterized. NCBI's taxonomy places the organism in Eukaryota, Metazoa, Chordata, Chondrichthyes, Chimaeriformes, Callorhinchidae. The record is from RefSeq and is a predicted model, not a curated record. The transcript is spliced from 3 exons.
CACACCUAUGAUGCCGGCGUCAUCUGUUCAGAUCCACUUCAGAAAGCCAUCAUUUCCCUGAAGCCAGAUUCCCGGUUCUUUGUGAGAGGGGAAAGCGCUCAGAUCUCAUGUUCUGGGAAUUAUCCAGGCAGCAUAUUCUCUUUAUAUAUAGACGGCAAGUUUUUCACAUCACGGACAGCUCCGGAAAACAUCCAAACGGCAAAUUUCGCCCUAUCGGAUUUCAGUGCAGGAAAUUACACGUGUAAAUAUACUACACAUAUAGACGGACGAAAGUUCACAUCCCCAGAGAGUGAAGGAGUGGGAAUCUAUUUGUGGGAACCGCUCCAGAAACCCACCAUUUCCCUGAAGCCAGAUUCACGGGUGUUUGUGAGAGGGGAAAGCGCUGAGAUCUCAUGUUCUGGAAAUUAUCCAGGCAGUAAUUUCUCUUUAUACAGAGAAGGGAAGUUGAUCUCAUCACAGUCGGCUCCUGAGAAUAACAACACGGCAACAUUCGCCCCAUCGGAGAUCAGUGCAGGAAAUUAUUGGUGUAAAUAUGC